This 1054-nucleotide unclassified non-coding RNA is filed under the name Hevea brasiliensis (rubber tree). The record is from RNAcentral. Lineage: Eukaryota; Viridiplantae; Streptophyta; Magnoliopsida; Malpighiales; Euphorbiaceae.
GCCCUUAACGUUUUGCUCCAUUUUUUCAUCUGACUGUCUCGUCCGUCGCCGCCGACUUAAGUCGUUGAACUCUCUUACUCUCCCGGCGUAAUUUCAUCAGAUCUGGGCGUCUCUUUUAUAGAAACCACUUUUGGCGCUUUGCAGAAAGACAUAAUUGAUAAAUCUGAAAGAGUCAUGGUCCAAGGAGUUGAGAAGGAGGGUAUGCUUCGUAAGCUGGAGAAGAAAUCCAAGAAAAGCAAUAAGAAUGCUGCCUCAAGUGGUCUUGGAGGAGAGAGUGAUGAGUGUGACGUUAAGAGAAAGAAAAAAAGAGAAGGUGGAAAACCCAACAAAGUCAGCGAUGAAUAUGCUGUGAAAUGUGUUGAGAAAAAGAAAAAGAAUAAGCUGAAGAAAAGCUACUUGAAUGAGCCUUUAGACACCAAAACUAGUGCUCCUGCAAGUGCAACUGAAAUGCGGGACAAUGACAAGGUAGUUGAGACCCUUGGUGAGGUCUCUGGUGGAGACGUUGUGGACGUGAUUACAAGGAAGAAGAAGUCCAAGAAAAACAUUAAGACUAUCAAUGGUGUAGAUGUGACAAACACUGAUAUUAAAGUUAAGAGUGAUGACUCUGACAUCAAGAGAAAGAAAGAAAGAAAACAUGGAAAACGUUCUGGGAAGUUUAGUGAAGACAGCAAUGAGGUUACGAGAAUUAUUGAAGGGAAUAAAAGUAGGAAAUUGAAGAAAAGCUGUGGGGAUGAGCUGGAGAAAAUGCAUGAUACUAAGGAUAUACGUGAAGAUUUUGCUGCUGAAGUCAAUGAAGGUGAUAUUUUUUCACCUAUAGAGAUGGAAGAUAAAAUCAAAACAGACAAAGGUAAAAUCAAAAAGAGAAAAAGGGAAAAAGUAGGACACAGCUCUGAAGAUCCUACACAUGAAAAGAGUGAAAAGAGAGUGAGAUUUUCUGGUCAGGUUCAGAUUUUCCCUUCAUUGAAUGAUUCAAGUGAUGAGAAGCAUGAGAUCGAGGAAGAAAAUUUAGUGCAUGGCAAGCGAUUCUCAAAGUUAGAAGAUGAAAUUAUCAAAG